Molecule: non-coding RNA, 1972 nt
Organism: Phoenix dactylifera (date palm)
Lineage: Eukaryota; Viridiplantae; Streptophyta; Magnoliopsida; Arecales; Arecaceae
Source: RefSeq, a predicted model, not a curated record
GCGUUUUUAUUAAUAAUAAACCGUGACGCACCUAGAGGCCGUUGGAUUUCCACAACCGUUCACGUGCUAUACAUCGAGAUUGGCUGCGUUCGCAGUUGAAGGCGCGCGGUCAACCUAAAGCCCCUUUUUCUUCUUAACGCGACCUCGCUAGGGUUUAGCUCUCUCACUUCAUCCUCGCUUUUCGAUCUCCUCGCAUUUCGAUCGCUCCCGAAUUGAUGGCCAAAUUCUCCUUCGAUCUUGAUGGCUCUCGAAGCGGACGUGCUGGUGGGCGGCGCCGAUCGGCCGCCGAUGCCGGGGAGAUAACGCCGUAGUCCUCGCCUGCGGUGCGGAUGGAUGCGGCGGCGGCGGCGGCGGCGGCGGCGAGGUGGUAGGACGUCGUGGCCAUUUGGAGGGAUGGAAUCUGUGGCAAAGAGGAGCCAGCUGAUGCCUUCGUGAAACCGAUUUGGUUUCAUAAAUGCUGUUUCCAUCCUGAAAAUAUAACAAGGCCUUGCGGCUAAGAAACAUGCAAAUAUUACGCCGUCAAAACAUGAUUUGCAGCCAUUGGAAAGAUUUAGGAUUAACAUGGAAUCAUAGAGAUGGCAUAUUUCUAUUGUUUUGGAUUCACUGUUUCGAGAUCUUCACAAUGGAGACUUUAUUGUGAGGUUUAAACGCAGUGAUAAAUCAAUAUCUUCUCACAUCUGCAUCUGGUCUUAAACUAAGAACCUUUCAAUCUUGAAAAAUUGUUUGGGAAAGACCGUAGCAGACAAAUUUGCAAGUGCAACAGACUUAUUUUUGUAUGUAGAUCUCCGAUAUGAUGUACUAUUAUGAGGAUCCUGAUCUUGCAUUGAAGUUGGACAAUAUCAAAUUAAUUAAAAAGAAAUGUGGUCGAGUGCACUGCAUCGAUCAAUAUCUCAUCUCUUCUUUGCUCAAAUGGCAUGACCAUCUGCAAUUGUAUCCAUCCUCCUCUGCUGAAGUUAUUAUGCUGUAGUUGCCAAAACAAUUCAUAAAAUAUAAAACAUAUUUAGCUAAUUUUACUUUGGAUGUCUCUUGGAUAACCGAUCAAAACUCCAUUAAAAAAUGGAACUGAUUAAGAAAUUAAGAAAUUGCUUAUCAGUUUUUUCUCUAGCAUGUUUCUGAGUCACACAGUCUGACAAUAAAAUGCUUCUUGAUGUCAUUUGGGUUUUAUUUGGUUUCUUUCAUAUUAAAAUAUAGUCAAAGCUAAAGUUUUGCAAAUGAAAGGAAAUUGUUUUUUACAGUUGUGUAAAAGGCUAACAAUAACUCCAUGAAUUGAGUUUGAAGCAUUAAAGUUACUCUUGUCAUAGGCUCUGUAACUAAAAGAUGGUAACUCGGUCACGGAUGCUGCAUUAGUGCACGAGUAUGAGUUCCAGAAUUGGAAUAAAACAAAAUAGGGGGUACAUUUAUUCACACAUCACAGACAUCUUAGGUGUCUGGCAAAUAUAAUCAUGGACAGAACUCAUUAAUGUGGAGCGAAAGAAGAGCCUGAAUAUUAAGAGUGAUGGACAUAGAUAUACUAUAUAUGAAAAUAAAAAAAUAAAAAGAGAAAUGAUUUUGUGCGAGUUCUUUCAAUUAUCUUCAACACUUGGGUGUAUUAUACUGUGUUGUCCAUGGAAGACCUGUAUGAAGGGAGCAAAAGAAAUUUUUGUUGCACUAAUGCAAUAACUAAGGCAAGGUGAGUGGGAUAUACAGUUUGUUGGAGUUGAUAGUUUUUGUGCCAUUGUUUGCUGUGAGGACUUGCACCUGAUCAUUGUUUUCCUGCUUUUGUGCUUGCCAAAAGUUUGAGAGACAAUUUAUUGUUCUCUUCUUCUAUUGCUUUUGUUCUCUUUUUCUUUGUAGCUGGUAAGCUUUUGAUUUUAUGUUGAUGCAAUAUUGCUUAUUGUUGAGGGGGCAUGUUAAAUUUUGACCUCUUCUGUUCCAUGUAUUGUGUCCCCAUUAUUUAGAUGUCAAUUAACAAAUAUAGUUUAAUUUGAAUUCA